This 511-nucleotide long non-coding RNA is filed under the name Rattus norvegicus (Norway rat). Its description in RNAcentral is "long non-coding RNA NONRATT003249". The stretch from base 414 to 482 matches the Rfam family "tRNA". The record is from RNAcentral. Lineage: Eukaryota; Metazoa; Chordata; Mammalia; Rodentia; Muridae.
AUUUCAAGUUCAAGGUUUGGUAUGUUUUGAAGUCAGCCUUUGGUUAUUGUGGACACAGUGGGAACAGUGAACAUCUUAAGUACUUUAGAAAAUACUAAAGCAUGAACAACUUUACAGAUAGGAAUUUAAACCAUUAUAAUAAUUUUAUUUCCUCUAGAGUUAUAGCUCAUUGGUAGAGCAGCAUGUAUUCAUGAUAUGCAAGGCCCUGGGUUCAACCCAUAGCACCAAAAUAAAAUCUAAAUUUUGUCUUAUUUUCAAAGAAAAAAUUUUACUUUUCUCAGUUAAGACUCUUGUUGUGCCAGUGACUCAUGUAUCAGUUACUCUUUUCUUCCUUUCUUCUUUACUAAAUUUUCUUUUGACUUUCUUUAUACAAGAUACUAUGGUAAGUGUUAAGAAUCCAUUGGUGAGGGGCUGGGGAUUUAGCUCAGUGGUAGAGCACUUACCUAGGAAGCGCAAGGCCCUGGGUUCGAUCCCCAGCUCCGAAAAAAAGAACCAAAAAAAAAAAAAAAAA